CCUANGGGUGGCAGCAGUGGGGAAUAUUGCGCAAUGGGCGAAAGCCUGACGCAGCGACGCCGCGUGGAGGAUGAAGGUCUUAGGAUUGUAAACUCCUGUCAGAUGGAAAGAAAGGCUCAUGUUUAAUAAACGUGAGAUAUGACGGUACCAUCAGAGGAAGCACCGGCUAACUUCGUGCCAGCAGCCGCGGUAAUACGAAGGGUGCGAGCGUUAUUCGGAAUCACUGGGCGUAAAGGGUGCGUAGACGGUAUGUUAAGUUUGUUGUUAAAGGCUCCGGCCUAACCGGAGUAUUGCGAUGAAAACUGGCAAGCUAGAGGGUGAGAGAGAGAAGUGGAAUUCCCGGAGUAGCGGUAAAAUGCGUGGAUCUCGGGAGGAACACCAAUGGCGAAGGCAGCUUCUUGGCUCAUUCCUGACGUUGAGGCACGAAAGCGUGGGGAGCAAACAGGAUUAGAUACCCUANUAGUC
RNAcentral lists this ribosomal RNA (465 nucleotides) under uncultured bacterium. RNAcentral's name for it is "bacterial SSU rRNA". It matches the Rfam family "Bacterial small subunit ribosomal RNA", at positions 338 to 795 of the family's 1533-position model. The record is from RNAcentral.